RNAcentral lists this ribosomal RNA (253 nucleotides) under uncultured bacterium. Its description in RNAcentral is "partial 16S ribosomal RNA". It matches the Rfam family "Bacterial small subunit ribosomal RNA", at positions 524 to 776 of the family's 1533-position model. The record is from RNAcentral.
UACGUAGGGGGCAAGCGUUGUCCGGAAUUAUUGGGCGUAAAGAGCGCGUAGGCGGUCCGAUAAGUCGGCUGUGAAAGUCAGGGGCUCAACCCUUGGAAGCCGGCCGAUACUGUCGGACUAGAGUCCGGAAGAGGCGAGUGGAAUUCCCGGUGUAGCGGUGAAAUGCGCAGAUAUCGUAAGGAAGACCAGUGGCGAAGGCGGGUCUCUGGACAGUUCCUGACGCUGAGGCACGAAGGCCAGGGGAGCAAACGGG